RNAcentral lists this unclassified non-coding RNA (263 nucleotides) under uncultured fungus. RNAcentral describes it as "partial contains 5.8S ribosomal RNA, internal transcribed spacer 2, and large subunit ribosomal RNA". The stretch from base 1 to 52 matches the Rfam family "5.8S ribosomal RNA", at positions 103 to 154 of the family's 154-position model. Lineage: Eukaryota; Fungi. The record is from RNAcentral.
AACGCACAUUGCGCCCGCCAGUAUUCUGGCGGGCAUGCCUGUUCGAGCGUCAUUUCAACCCUCAAGCCCCGGCGGCUUGGUGUUGGGGACCGGCGACCCUUCUCGUCCGCCGCCCCCGAAAUGAAUUGGCGGCCUCGUCGCGGCCUCCUCUGCGUAGUAGCACAACCUCGCAGCGGGAGCGCGGCGCGGCCACUGCCGUAAAACGCCCAACUUUUUUUCUCAGAGUUGACCUCGAAUCAGGUAGGAAUACCCGCUGAACUUAA